This 253-nucleotide ribosomal RNA is filed under the name uncultured bacterium. Its description in RNAcentral is "partial 16S ribosomal RNA". It matches the Rfam family "Bacterial small subunit ribosomal RNA", at positions 524 to 776 of the family's 1533-position model. The record is from RNAcentral.
UACGGAGGGUGCAAGCGUUAUCCGGAUUUACUGGGUUUAAAGGGUGCGUAGGCGGGCAGGUAAGUCCGUGGUGAAAUCUCUGAGCUUAACUCAGAAACUGCCAUGGAUACUAUUUGUCUUGAAUAUUGUGGAGGUAAGCGGAAUAUGUCAUGUAGCGGUGAAAUGCUUAGAUAUGACAUAGAACACCAAUUGCGAAGGCAGCUUACUACACAGUUAUUGACGCUGAGGCACGAAAGCGUGGGGAUCAAACAGG